RNAcentral lists this ribosomal RNA (541 nucleotides) under Montanelia disjuncta. RNAcentral describes it as "eukaryotic LSU rRNA". The stretch from base 196 to 349 matches the Rfam family "5.8S ribosomal RNA". The record is from RNAcentral. Lineage: Eukaryota; Fungi; Ascomycota; Lecanoromycetes; Lecanorales; Parmeliaceae.
AAGGAUCAUUACCGAGAGAGGGGCUUCGGGCCCCGGGGUUUCAGCCCCCACCUCUGCACCCAUUGUGUACCUACCUUUGUUGCUUUGACGGACCGCGGGGCCGUUCCCGCGCUGGCUUUCGGGUCGGAGAGCGUCCGUCAGAGGCCCAUCGAAAUCCCUUUAAUCAGUGAUGUCCGAGUUAAAAACAACAGUAAAAACUUUCAACAACGGAUCUCUUGGUUCCAGCAUCGAUGAAGAACGCAGCGAAAUGCGAUAAGUAAUGCGAAUUGCAGAAUUCAGUGAAUCAUCGAAUCUUUGAACGCACAUUGCGCCCCUCGGUAUUCCGGGGGGCAUGCCUGUUCGAGCGUCAUUGCCCCCCUCAAGCGUAGCUUGGUAUUGGGCCUUCGCCCCCGCGGCGUGCCCGAAAAGCAGUGGCGGUCCGGAGGGACUUUAAGCGUAGUAAACACUCUCCUGCUUUGAAAGUUCGCCCCGCGGCCGGCCAGAGAACCCCGCAGACUCAAUCAUUGACCUCGGAUCAGGUAGGGAUACCCGCUGAACUUAA